This 253-nucleotide ribosomal RNA is filed under the name uncultured bacterium. RNAcentral describes it as "partial 16S ribosomal RNA". It matches the Rfam family "Bacterial small subunit ribosomal RNA", at positions 524 to 776 of the family's 1533-position model. The record is from RNAcentral.
UACGUAGGGGCCGAGCGUUGUCCGGAGUUAUUGGGCGUAAAGCGCGCGCAGGCGGCCUCGCGCGCCCGACGUGAAAGCCCCCGGCUUAACCGGGGAGGGUCGUUGGGGACGGCGGGGCUUGAGGGCGGGAGAGGUCGGUGGAAUUCCCGGUGUAGUGGUGAAAUGCGUAGAUAUGCGGAGGAACACCGAUGGCGAAGGCAAUCCCCUGGACCUGUACUGACGCUCAUGCACGAAAGCGUGGGGAGCAAACAGG